RNAcentral lists this transfer RNA (71 nucleotides) under Hylomyscus anselli (Ansell's wood mouse). RNAcentral's name for it is "tRNA-Tyr". It matches the Rfam family "tRNA". Rfam says of the family: Transfer RNA (tRNA) molecules are approximately 80 nucleotides in length. Their secondary structure includes four short double-helical elements and three loops (D, anti-codon, and T loops). The record is from RNAcentral. Lineage: Eukaryota; Metazoa; Chordata; Mammalia; Rodentia; Muridae.
GGUAAAAUGGCUGAGAAAAAAGCAUUAGACUGUAAAUCUAAGCACAGAGGUGACUAUUCCUCUUUUUACCA